This 406-nucleotide ribosomal RNA is filed under the name Clostridium sporogenes. RNAcentral describes it as "partial 23S ribosomal RNA". It matches the Rfam family "Bacterial large subunit ribosomal RNA", at positions 1262 to 1672 of the family's 2925-position model. The record is from RNAcentral. Lineage: Bacteria; Bacillati; Bacillota; Clostridia; Eubacteriales; Clostridiaceae.
CGUAAGGAGCGGUGGACUGUACAGAAGUGAGAAUGCUGGCAUAAGUAGCGAGAAAUAAGUGAGAAUCUUAUUGGCCGAAAACCUAAGGUUUCCUGGGGAAGGUUCGUCCGCCCAGGGUUAGUCGGGACCUAAGCCGAGGCCGAAAGGCGUAGGUGAUGGACAAUCGGUUGAUAUUCCGAUACCGCCUAUUUACGUUUGAGAAAUGGGGUGACGCAGUAGGAUAAGAUGUGCGCACUAUUGGAUGUGCGUCUAAGCAUUUAGGCAUGCUUGAUAGGCAAAUCCGUCAAGCUAAGCUGAGAUGUGAUGGGGAGCCAUUUAUGGCGAAGUAUCUGAUUCCACACUGCCAAGAAAAGCCUCUAUCGAGUGAAUAGGUGCCCGUACCGCAAACCGACACAGGUAGGUGAGG